RNAcentral lists this ribosomal RNA (253 nucleotides) under uncultured bacterium. RNAcentral describes it as "partial 16S ribosomal RNA". It matches the Rfam family "Bacterial small subunit ribosomal RNA", at positions 524 to 776 of the family's 1533-position model. The record is from RNAcentral.
UACAGAGGGUGCAAGCGUUAAUCGGAAUGACUGGGCGUAAAGGGCGUGUAGGUGGAAACAGAAGUCAAAGGUGAAAUCCCCGGGCUUAACCUGGGAACUGCCUCUGAAACUGAGUAUCUAGAGUAUAGGAGAGGGAAGUGGAAUUUCCGGUGUAGCGGUGAAAUGCGUAGAUAUCGGAAGGAACACCAGUGGCGAAGGCGACUUCCUGGCCUAAUACUGACACUGAGGCGCGAAAGCGUGGGUAGCGAACAGG